This 523-nucleotide ribosomal RNA is filed under the name uncultured bacterium. RNAcentral's name for it is "bacterial SSU rRNA". It matches the Rfam family "Bacterial small subunit ribosomal RNA", at positions 8 to 524 of the family's 1533-position model. The record is from RNAcentral.
AGAGUUUGAUCAUGGCUCAGAUUGAACGCUGGCGGCAUGCCUUACACAUGCAAGUCGAACGGCAGCAUAGGAGCUUGCUCCUGAUGGCGAGUGGCGAACGGGUGAGUAAUAUAUCGGAACGUGUCCUAGAGUGGGGGAUAACUAGUCGAAAGACUAGCUAAUACCGCAUACGAUCUACGGAUGAAAGUGGGGGAUCGCAAGACCUCAUGCUCCUGGAGCGGCCGAUAUCUGAUUAGCUAGUUGGUGGGGUAAAAGCCUACCAAGGCAACGAUCAGUAGCUGGUCUGAGAGGACGACCAGCCACACUGGGACUGAGACACGGCCCAGACUCCUACGGGAGGCAGCAGUGGGGAAUUUUGGACAAUGGGGGCAACCCUGAUCCAGCAAUGCCGCGUGAGUGAAGAAGGCCUUCGGGUUGUAAAGCUCUUUUGUCAGGGAAGAAACGGUAGUAGCGAAUAACUACUACUAAUGACGGUACCUGAAGAAUAAGCACCGGCUAACUACGUGCCAGCAGCCGCGGUAAU